AUAAAUAAUGUCUGUUCUAUCUGUGUGCUGAGCAGCGCCUGCUGUAACGCCAUUUAUUUUAUCACAAGGUUAACUGAAAGCAGAAAGUAUAAUAUAACCAUGGCUUCCUGCUUUAGAUUCCUGCACACUGUGUAUAAAGCCAGACCGUGCCCCAUGCUGUGACUGUGUGUCCUUCUCACAAUCACCAUUGAGUCAUCAUUGUCACUAACUCUCCCCAGGGAAUUAUCCAGAAAUCUUCAGCUUUCGCAAUGACCUAUUAUACCCUUCCAAUCCAUGAAUGGUUAGUAAUAUAUUACAGCUGAUUAUAAAAUGAUUUUCUGUUAAUCAACUACCUCCAGCAAGGCCCCCCUCCCUGGCAAAAGGUAAG
Molecule: non-coding RNA, 367 nt
Organism: Pelobates cultripes (western spadefoot toad)
Lineage: Eukaryota; Metazoa; Chordata; Amphibia; Anura; Pelobatidae
Source: the annotation of a GenBank genome assembly